Molecule: ribosomal RNA, 343 nt
Filed under: uncultured Leptosphaeriaceae
Lineage: Eukaryota; Fungi; Ascomycota; Dothideomycetes; Pleosporales; Leptosphaeriaceae
Description: eukaryotic LSU rRNA
Rfam family: 5.8S ribosomal RNA (bases 1-126)
Source: RNAcentral
UGCAUCGAUGAAGAACGCAGCGAAAUGCGAUAAGUAGUGUGAAUUGCAGAAUUCAGUGAAUCAUCGAAUCUUUGAACGCACAUUGCGCCCCUUGGUAUUCCAUGGGGCAUGCCUGUUCGAGCGUCAUUUGUACCUUCAAGCUCUGCUUGGUGUUGGGUGUUUGUCUCGCCUCUGCGUGUAGACUCGCCUUAAAACAAUUGGCAGCCGGCGUAUUGAUUUCGGAGCGCAGUACAUCUCGCGCUUUGCACUCAUAACGACGACGUCCAAAAGUACAUUUUUACACUCUUGACCUCGGAUCAGGUAGGGAUACCCGCUGAACUUAAGCAUAUCAAUAAGCGGAGGA